This is a long non-coding RNA of Aricia agestis (brown argus), 71 nucleotides long. RefSeq lists it as uncharacterized. The transcript is spliced from 3 exons. Lineage: Eukaryota; Metazoa; Arthropoda; Insecta; Lepidoptera; Lycaenidae. The record is from RefSeq and is a predicted model, not a curated record.
UGUGCUCUGUCCAAUGACUAGUACUGUCCAAUCAUUAAUCAUGUUCACCCUAUGUACUUGUAUCUGCAAUA